UGGCUCAGUGGUUAAGAGCACUGGCUGCUCUUCCAGAGAACGUGGGUUCAAUUCCCAC
Molecule: transfer RNA, 58 nt
Filed under: Mus musculus (house mouse)
Lineage: Eukaryota; Metazoa; Chordata; Mammalia; Rodentia; Muridae
Rfam family: tRNA
About the family: Transfer RNA (tRNA) molecules are approximately 80 nucleotides in length. Their secondary structure includes four short double-helical elements and three loops (D, anti-codon, and T loops).
Source: Rfam by way of RNAcentral